AGUUGCGGUCAUAUCCACAGAAAAGCACCGAACCCGUUAGAUCUCCGAAGUUAAUCCUAGUGUGAGCUUAAUUAGUACUAUGGUGGGCGACCACAUGGGAACAUUAAGUACUGCAA
Molecule: ribosomal RNA, 116 nt
Filed under: Tubulinosema ratisbonensis
Lineage: Eukaryota; Fungi; Microsporidia; Tubulinosematidae
Source: RNAcentral